GUGAAUCAUCGAAUUUUUGAACGCAAAUUGCACUCCCUGGUAUUCCGGAGAGUAUGCCUGUUUGAGGGUCAGUUUAAAUAAAAAUCGGUGUGGUUGCUGCCUUUCGUGGUGACGCACCGGAUUUGGGUCGUCUUGCCUUCGGUUAAGUGACCUAAAAUUUUGCAUGAUUUUUUUUCGAAGUAUUUUAAUGAUUUUUCCUAACGUUUCCGUUUUAAAU
RNAcentral lists this unclassified non-coding RNA (217 nucleotides) under Glomeraceae sp. Its description in RNAcentral is "partial contains 5.8S ribosomal RNA and internal transcribed spacer 2". The stretch from base 1 to 71 matches the Rfam family "5.8S ribosomal RNA", at positions 84 to 154 of the family's 154-position model. Lineage: Eukaryota; Fungi; Glomeromycota; Glomeromycetes; Glomerales; Glomeraceae. The record is from RNAcentral.